Molecule: transfer RNA, 69 nt
Filed under: Planostrea pestigris
Lineage: Eukaryota; Metazoa; Mollusca; Bivalvia; Ostreida; Ostreidae
Description: tRNA-Asn
Source: RNAcentral
GAGAGGAUAGCUUAAGCAAAGCGUUUGAUUGUUAAUCAAAAGUUACAAAAACCUACUUUGAGCCUCUCU